UUUUGAUUAUUUAAUAGUUUCAUGCAGUGGACUGUGCCCGAAACGAUUCCCACAGCGCCGGCGAAUAGUCAGCUUGUAAAAAUGGAAUCUGAAUGCUCACAAGAAGGACAAAAGCAGUAUGAAAAUUAACACAAAGAAAUUGUGCCAGAAAAGUUUGAAGUGUCUAUGGGAAUGAUCAACAAUGAACAUUGAACUUCCUGAGCCUUUGUACUUAAAGUGAAUCCGUUCGUGACAUGACCAGUUAUUUGGCUACCCUCUAACAUAACGCCAUCUUUUAUUUAUUUAUUAUUGUGAAUUUCAUGGGAUAUCUGUGAGGAAGUGAUUCAAGCAAACACUUUAGAAAUUUCGGAUCUAACUUAAUUAGGAUCUUUGGCAUAUUCGGGGAAAAUAGUAUGUGUUGAUUUAUUGGAUCUUUUUAUUAAUAUAGUUGUG
Long non-coding RNA from Saccostrea cuccullata (small rock oyster), 432 nucleotides. RefSeq lists it as uncharacterized. The record is from RefSeq and is a predicted model, not a curated record. The transcript has 3 exons. NCBI's taxonomy places the organism in Eukaryota, Metazoa, Mollusca, Bivalvia, Ostreida, Ostreidae.